CUUUACACAUGCAAGUCGAACGGCAGCACGGGUGCUUGCACCUGGUGGCGAGUGGCGAACGGGUGAGUAAUAUAUCGGAACGUAUCCAAUAAUGGGGGAUAACUAGCCGAAAGGUUAGCUAAUACCGCAUACGCCCUGAGGGGGAAAGCUGGGGAUCGUAAGACCUAGCGUUAAUGGAGCGGCCGAUAUCUGAUUAGCUAGUUGGUGGGGUAAGAGCCUACCAAGGCGACGAUCAGUAGCUGGUCUGAGAGGACGACCAGCCACACUGGAACUGAGACACGGUCCAGACUCCUACGGGAGGCAGCAGUGGGGAAUUUUGGACAAUGGGGGCAACCCUGAUCCAGCCAUUCCGCGUGAGUGAAGAAGGCCUUCGGGUUGUAAAGCUCUUUCGCAAGGGAAGAAAACUCGAUCUCUAAUAUAGGUUGAGGCUGACGGUACCUUGAUAAGAAGCACCGGCUAACUACGUGCCAGCAGCCGCGGUAAUACGUAGGGUGCGAGCGUUAAUCGGAAUUACUGGGCGUAAAGCGUGCGCAGGCGGUUUUGAAAGUCAGAUGUGAAAUCCCCGGGCUCAACCUGGGAACUGCGUUUGAAACUCCAAAGCUAGAGUAUGGGAGAGGGAGGUAGAAUUCCACGUGUAGCAGUGAAAUGCGUAGAGAUGUGGAGGAAUACCAAUGGCGAAGGCAGCCUCCUGGCCUAAUACUGACGCUCAUGCACGAAAGCGUGGGGAGCAAACAGGAUUAGAUACCCUGGUAGUCCACGCCCUAAACGAUGUCUACUAGUUGUUGGGAGAGUAAAAUCUUUUAGUAACGAAGCUAACGCGAGAAGUAGACCGCCUGGGGAGUACGGUCGCAAGAUUAAAACUCAAAGGAAUUGACGGGGCCCCGCACAAGCGGUGGAUUAUGUGGAUUAAUUCGAUGCAACGCGAAAAACCUUACCUAGCCUUGACAUGUAGCGAACUUAGCAGAGAUGCUUUGGUGCCCGA
This 982-nucleotide ribosomal RNA is filed under the name uncultured bacterium. Its description in RNAcentral is "bacterial SSU rRNA". It matches the Rfam family "Bacterial small subunit ribosomal RNA", at positions 47 to 1021 of the family's 1533-position model. The record is from RNAcentral.